Molecule: non-coding RNA, 64 nt
Filed under: Stygamoeba regulata
Lineage: Eukaryota; Discosea; Stygamoebida
Source: RNAcentral
GGAAGAAGGCAACAUGGUCUUAUCCUUUCUAUUUUUUUUAUUUAUUUUUUUAAUUUUUUUUUUU